Molecule: non-coding RNA, 78 nt
Organism: Morus notabilis
Lineage: Eukaryota; Viridiplantae; Streptophyta; Magnoliopsida; Rosales; Moraceae
Source: Rfam
AGCAGAAUGAUGAGGUUUUUGUAACUGAAUAUGAUGUGGAACUCAUAUCAAAUUGGUCUUCAAAGUUCUCUGAUUGCU